UUAUAACUGAGAAACUUAUUCUGACAGUGGAUGAGGAGUGUUCUUUCUGGAAAGAGUCGCUGUUCAGCUAAUGGAUUAUGUUUAUUCUGUUUGUAUCUAUCAGCUUUUAGAAUCUUAUGUUUUAAUUUUGGAAAAAUUUGAAUUUUUUUUUCCCUUUCCCAAGCUGACUUGGCGUCCAUGAUAAACCAGGUGUUGAUGUUGCUUUUGCUCCCUUCACCUGUACCUUCUCUCAUGGGUUUCAGUGUGCACAGUUACUGGAGUUUAUGUAAGCUCAUUGGUGUCCCUCCUAGCCGUUCCCCUUCAGGAACUUUCCACGCACUGGUGAGCCUGUAGAAGGACCACGUAUCAGUAUGAGCUUUAGCUGCCCUGGAACUUAUGAUGUAGACCAGGUUAGCAUCGAACUCACAGAGUCUACCUGUACCACCCUAACUAAAGUAUUUUUUUCCUUUGCUUUUCUUCUGAAAAAUUUUCAUGCAUGUUAGCCAAAUUUUUAAAAAUCAAAUUUACUGAUUUAAAUUAGGAAAAUUUCUUGUACAAUUAGUAUUGGUUUUGAUGGAGAUUUUGGCCAUUUGCUAUUUCUCCUCUCUGUAUCAUACUUUGAUUGAUGUGAGAGUAAAGAAAUGGAAGUGAAGAAAUAGUAAGAAAUGGUGGUGGCUUCCAAGUUCCCGAGUCCACCUGAUUAAGAUAUGAACUGGGUUUGGAUUUAUUAUGGUGAUCUUCAGAUGUCUCGGCCCUUGCUUGUACCCUGGCUUGGAGUUGCCUAAGACUUAACUGGUUAAUCCUGAUCUGCCCUGAGUUUUGAUCUUCCCUCAGAAGGUAUGCUUCCAAGCUCUGAUGGACCGACCUUGAAGACAGCGGUUGCUUGUUACUUGGAGCUUUCUCUAGUGGUCAUAAAGGGAGAUAAGGUUCCUCUUGCCUUGCCUAUCUUUUGUCCUUGAUUCCAGAGUACAGUGGUGCUUUUGAUGGUCUGGGUUCUUUCUCCCUUAGCAGUUAGUUCCAACCUGCAUAAUAGUAGUACUUUUAUAGGACUCAUUUCUUGCCACUCUUUCAGGUUAGAACUUUGUCAAUACCUACCCACCUGUAUUAGUGGUUCUCUAGAGUCAUAGAAUUUAUGGGUAGGCUCUAUAUAGUAAAGGAACUUGUUGAUGACAUACAGUCUCCCAACACUGGUCAGCAGCAGCUGUGAAUGGAAGUCCAAGGAUCUAGCUGUUGCUCAGUCCCACAAGGCAGCAAGCAAGAGAAGGGGAGAGUGUCUUCCUUCUUUCAGUGUCCUUAUGUAGGUCUCCAGCAGAAGGUGUAGCCCAGAUUAAAGGUGUGUGCCACCACACCUUUAAUCCCAGAUGACCUUGAACUCAGAGCUCUUCCCUGUUUUAAUUUUCUGGAAUUCAUAGCCACUAUGCCUCAAGAUCUCCGUACCAAGAUCCAGGUCAGAAACUUCUAUCUCCCAGCCUCCAGAUUAGAAUCACUGGUGAGCCUUCCAAUUCUGGAUUGUAGUUCAUUCCAGAUAUAGUCAAGUUGACAACCAGGAAUAUCCACUACACCACCUCACCAAACCCAGUGCCUUGAAGAUAGUUGUUCUGUUGGUACUCAGUGCUGGCUCAUCUCAUUCCUGGUUUUGAACAGCAAAGUGAUUUUUUAUAUAGUUGGGGUGGAGGGGGAGGGAGUCUGUCUAGAUGGCUCUCAGCUUGUCCAUCCUUAGCCUUCAGCAGGCUAUUAGAAAAUUUAGGUGGAAUGUCCUUAAUCCCUUGGAUAGUCUGUGCGUCUUUCCUUCUCAGGCUUUGUCGCAAUGAGGUGGGGCUACCCUGUCUCUGUUGGCAGUAUCUGGUAGUCUCACCACACAUUCCCAGCCAUUUGUUGUCUAACAUGCAACCAAGCAUUUAAACACAGGAGUCCAUGGAGGUCAUUUGACUUUGAAACCACAGCAGUCCUCUAAUUUUCAUAUCCAUAAGUAUUACAUCAAGAGUAUACUAUUUAGCGAAAGCCCAUUAAAAUUUUUGUGCAUAAACUUCAUUAUUUGAAAAAGCCACAAAGCAUAUUAUCCUUGUGGUGAACUGCUUCUCCCAAGGACGAAGUUUACAUUUGCUGAUCACCUGACUGUAUAUUGGAUACACAGCUUUGCUUUACUUUAGAGACAAGGUCUUGCUCUUCUGCCUAGGUGAUGCAAGUUACUCCCUGCCUUGGCCUCUAGUGCCCCAUCCUUAAUAAUGUGCUGCAGCAUUAGUCCUAACCAUAUUCACUUGAGAAACUUUUACCAGUGAGGAAUCUGAGAUUCUUUGCCUCAGAUUUGAUUUCUGGUUUAGGUUCCAGCAUACCAUGAUUGCUGUAUGUUCAGUGAGAUUGCUAUGUGACUAGGGAGUCUCACUGUCCCCCUGGGGAGAAGGCAAAGACAUAAACACUAAUGACACUUUUCCUCAAGACCAUAGAUUAGAGAUUUCAUACCGGGGAGAGGAAAAAAUUGGGAAUAAAAUGCAUUAACUACCUUGGACUGAAGAUGCUUUUCGCUUCAGUAUUGGUUUGUUUAUGGAAUUGGCCCCAUCUAAAAAUACAUUAGAGGAAUUAAAAGUGUUCAUUUGUUAAUCUGUGAUGUAAACAGCAGUUAUUACAAUCUAAGUUUAAAUUUUUCAUGAGGUUCAAAUUAUGCACUACUACCUAAUAAUUUAAUUGAUAAAAUUAUUUUGAAAAUUGUCCCAGGUUUAGAACCCAGGACAAAUGACAGUUUUUUAAAAAGCAUGUAACAGGAGCGGAGUAGUAAUUUGAGGUUUUAUCAAUCUGGGAUAAAGCAGAAAGAAAAGAGUGGACAGCUUAGUGCUGAAGUUCCUCAUACCCAGAGCUGCUCAUUGCCCUAAAACAUGACUAGAUUGAUUCAGUGCAACCUCCUUAAGGGAAAAAAAUAACCUGUGACAUUGGGUGUCUAAGCAGUAUUUUAUCUCCUAGAGGUCCCUUGGGUGACAAGGUGAGCCAUGGUUUCUGUUGUUGGGAGGGUAAUGUCAUAUGAUUUUAAAUAACAAAGCCAAGAUAUUGUUGGAUGUGGCUCUGUUCCGAUUGGCUUUCUGUGAGGUAUGCAUGCAGUGUGGUUGUGUUCUUCAGUUGAACCUGUGGAUGGCUUUGUAUUGGAGGAUUCUAAAAUUCUAGUAAGAAAAGCUUAACAAACCCUUGUUUAAAUCUGUAACUUCACACAUCCCAAGUAAGUUAACCUUUGAAGCAUACCUAAAUCUGGUAGGACAUGUCUUCGAGAACUGACAUUUGCUGACACAGCAUCUUUAUCUCCAUUCUAUAAUUGCAAAGAAGUUAGUAUAAAGGCCUCUUACUGGUGUAAGCUUAAGUAAAAAUGAUCUAAGAAGGAAGAACGGCACAACAGCUUGCUCCUUCAUUAGAAAUAUGUAGUAGUUUAAAUGAGAUUGCUCCCAGAGGCUCAUCUAUUUGAACGGUUGGUUCCCAGUUGGACUGGGGAGGAAUAGGAGGUGUGGCCUUGUUGGAGGAAGUGUGUCACUGGGAAUGGACUUUGAGGUUUCAAAAGCCUAGGCCAGGUCUAGUCUGGUUCUCUCUCUGUCACCUGUUUUUGGAUCACUAUGUAAGCUCCCAAUUAUUACUCUAGAACCAUGCGUGCUUGUCUGCCUGCUGCUGCCAUGUUCCUGUACUAACCAUGAUCGUGGACUAACUUUCUGAAACUAUAAGCAUGGCCUUAAUAAGUGCUUUCUUCUAUAAGCUGCCUUGAUCAUGGUCUCUUCACAGCUAUAGAAUAGUUACUAAGAUGAUAUCAUUUGAACCCUGAAAGAUUGUCUGCAAGUUUAAGUUUUUUGAGUUUGAAAAGAUAGCUAUAAGGGCUGAAGAUGGCUCAGUGGUUAAGAGCACUGACUGCUCUUCCAGAGGUCCUGAGUUCAACUCCCAGCAACCACAUGAUGGCUCACAACCAUCUGUAAUGGGAGCCGAUGCCCUCUUCUGGUGUGCCUGAAGACAGAGACAGUAUACUCACAUACAAUAAUUAAAUCCUUAAAAAAAUCUAUAAUAAACUUUCUACUUCACC
RNAcentral lists this long non-coding RNA (4024 nucleotides) under Mus musculus (house mouse). Its description in RNAcentral is "long non-coding RNA chr13:9344401-9348425". The record is from RNAcentral. Lineage: Eukaryota; Metazoa; Chordata; Mammalia; Rodentia; Muridae.